UACAGAGGUCUCAAGCGUUGUUCGGAUUCAUUGGGCGUAAAGGGUGCGUAGGUGGCGCCGUAAGUCGGGUGUGAAAUUUCGGAGCUUAACUCCGAAACUGCAUUCGAUACUGCGGUGCUUGAGGACUGGAGAGGAGACUGGAAUUCAUGGUGUAGCAGUGAAAUGCGUAGAGAUCAUGAGGAAGACCAGUGGCGAAGGCGGGUCUCUGGACAGUUCCUGACACUGAGGCACGAAGGCCAGGGGAGCAAGCGGG
RNAcentral lists this ribosomal RNA (253 nucleotides) under uncultured bacterium. RNAcentral's name for it is "partial 16S ribosomal RNA". It matches the Rfam family "Bacterial small subunit ribosomal RNA", at positions 524 to 776 of the family's 1533-position model. The record is from RNAcentral.